Molecule: ribosomal RNA, 497 nt
Filed under: uncultured bacterium
Lineage: Bacteria
Description: partial 16S ribosomal RNA
Rfam family: Bacterial small subunit ribosomal RNA
Source: RNAcentral
GAUGAACGCUGGCGGCGUGCCUAAUACAUGCAAGUCGAGCGAACAGAUGAGGAGCUUGCUCCUCUGACAUUAGCGGCGGACGGGUGAGUAACACGUGGAUAACCUACCUAUAAGACUGGGAUAACUUCGGGAAACCGGAGCUAAUACCGGAUAAUAUAUUGAACCGCAUGGUUCAAUAGUGAAAGACGGUUUUGCUGUCACUCAUAGAUGGAUCCGCGCCGCAUUAGCUAGUUGGUAAGGUAACGGCUUACCAAGGCAACGAUGCGUAGCCGACCUGAGAGGGUGAUCGGCCACACUGGAACUGAGACACGGUCCAGACUCCCACGGGAGGCAGCAGUAGGGAAUCUUCCGCAAUGGGCGAAAGCCUGACGGAGCAACGCCGCGUGUGUGAUGAAGGUCUUCGGAUCGUAAAACUCUGUUAUUAGGGAAGAACAAAUGUGUAAGUAACUAUGCACGUCUUGACGGUACCUAAUCAGAAAGCCACGGCUAACUACGUG